RNAcentral lists this ribosomal RNA (328 nucleotides) under uncultured eukaryote. RNAcentral's name for it is "partial 18S ribosomal RNA". It matches the Rfam family "Eukaryotic small subunit ribosomal RNA", at positions 1470 to 1796 of the family's 1831-position model. The record is from RNAcentral.
CCCUUAGAUGUCCUGGGCCGCACGCGCGUUACACUGAUGCAUUCAACGAGCUUAUAACCUUGGCCGAGAGGCCUGGGCAAUCUUAUUAACGUGCAUCGUGAUAGGGAUAGAUUAUUGAAAUUAUUAAUCUUGAACGAGGAAUUCCUAGUAAACGCAGAUCAUCAAUCUGCAUUGAUUACGUCCCUGCCCUUUGUACACACCGCCCGUCGCACCUACCGAUUGGAUGGUCCGGUGAAGCCUCGGGAUUGUGGUUCUUGCCGCUUUAUUGUAGCGUGACCGCGAGAACUUGUCUAAACCUUAUCAUCUAGAGGAAGGUGAAGUCGUAACA